Molecule: ribosomal RNA, 300 nt
Filed under: uncultured bacterium
Lineage: Bacteria
Description: bacterial SSU rRNA
Rfam family: Bacterial small subunit ribosomal RNA
Source: RNAcentral
GCGAACUCCGUGCCAGCAGCCGCGGGAAUACGGAGGGUGGAAUCUGUAUUCGGAUUUAUUGGGUUUAAAGGUUCCGUAGGCGGAGCGAUAAGGCAGUGGUGAAAUCUCACAGCUUAACUGUGAAACGGCCGUUGAUACUGUAGGUCUUGAGUAAAUUUGAAGUGGCUGGAAUAAGUAGUGUAGCGGUGAAAUGCAUAGAUAUUACUUAGAACACCAAUUGCGAAGGCAGGUCACUAAGAUUUAACUGACGCUGAGGGACGAAAGCGUGGGGAGCGAACAGGAUUAGAUACCCUAGUAGUC